This 167-nucleotide ribosomal RNA is filed under the name Dendrobium nobile. RNAcentral's name for it is "5.8S ribosomal RNA". It matches the Rfam family "5.8S ribosomal RNA". From Rfam's summary of the family: 5.8S ribosomal RNA (5.8S rRNA) is a component of the large subunit of the eukaryotic ribosome. It is transcribed by RNA polymerase I as part of the 45S precursor that also contains 18S and 28S rRNA. Lineage: Eukaryota; Viridiplantae; Streptophyta; Magnoliopsida; Asparagales; Orchidaceae. The record is from RNAcentral.
UGAUUGACAGACUCUCGGCAAUGGAUAUCUCGGCUCUCGCAUCGAUGAAGAGCGCAGCGAAAUGCGAUAUGUGGUGCGAAUUGCAGAAUCCCGCGAACCAUCGAGUCUUUGAACGCAAGUUGCGCCUGAGGCCAACGGGCUGAGGGCACGUCCGCCUGGGCGUCAAG